Long non-coding RNA from Sitophilus oryzae (rice weevil), 511 nucleotides. RefSeq lists it as uncharacterized. Lineage: Eukaryota; Metazoa; Arthropoda; Insecta; Coleoptera; Curculionidae. The transcript is spliced from 2 exons. The record is from RefSeq and is a predicted model, not a curated record.
AGAUUUCCUUGAUUUAGUAAUGAUAUUGCUCAUAGAAAUUGAUAAUAUACUAUUUUAUAUUCACUCGUUCAAGUGCUGAUCUAUUUUUAAAUUGAAUAUUUAUGUAAGUAUUAUGUAUAACACGAUAUAAAUAAUUUAAGGACAUAAGAAAUUAAAAUUUCAAGUGCCAAUAUUGAUUAUUUUUCCAGUUUUAUUCAAAUAUAUUGAAAUUAAUAUGGAAACAAAAGUUCAUAAAUAUUAUUCUUAAUAACAAGAAUUGAGAUUUGGGGAUAAGUUUGAAAAGCCAUGUCAGAAGAGUAGGAUUAAAGACAAAGUAUUAAGAGUAAUUGGGCUGUUCCUGAACAAUAUUGAAUAUAAAUAUUCAAAAAUAUGAUAAACUGCAUAUCCUACUAAGUAGAUCAAUACCAAAAUUCCAUUAGAGAAAUAAGUUAAAAUUAUGUUUUACUUGUAUAAUUUUCUUGCUAUUUGUCCACCAUUAUUUGUGACUUAGAAAUUAAAUAGUCAAAAAGAA